GCCUUUGAAACUUUUUUCCAAAUCCUUUCCAAAGUCUCCAUAUUAACACACUAGCUCUAGAGACCCAACAUGAAUGUAUCAAAGCAUCUUACUAAAAUGUCAAAUAUAAAUGGAUUAUUAUUUUAUUCUUUAUAUUCCUAUUUAUGCAUUUUAGUUUGCAUUUUUGCAAUUUCAGCUUUGUCCAGUGUUUAUAUUGUCCAAAAUAAUUAUUCUUAUUACUUGCUAUUUACAUAGAUGCUCUAAGUGAUAAAGAUGAUAAUUUAAGAUCAGUAAUUACCUUUAUUGCUAGCUUUUUGUAUCAUGUAACUAGCAAUUUAUAAAGUAAUGAUCUGGAAGAGUAUCUAAUUUGUACCCAAGGAUGUGGAUCACAUACUAGACUUGAAGAUCAGAAAACCUAGAUUCAUAUCCUGUCUUUGUUACUUCCCAGCUUACUUAAACUUUAAUUUCUUCAUCUGUAAAAUGGGUUUUAUAUUGUUUGUGGUUCUUACCUCACAGGCUUGAAAAGAAGACUAAAUGAAGUAAUAUUUUUAUAAAGUGCUUUCUAAGCAUCUGGUAUUAUAUGCCUGAUGCUGUUUGUUUUUAAUAACUUGAUAGAGAUGUGAAAGACUCUGAGAGCAGAAUAUGCCCAGGCAGAGCUCAAAAGGCAGAAUUUGUCUUCUGAUAUCUCUAAAUAGCCUCUUAUGUAGUCUUCAUAUUUUAAGUCUAAUAACUGUUGACAAUGUGUUGUAGCAUUCCUUAUGAUACAUUCUCCAUUAUAUCAAGUAAAUGGUUGAACUUGUGAAAGUUAACAAAGAGUUAUUAAUAGAUUAUAGGGUACUUAACAGUCUCUAUUCUUCAACUACAGAAAUUUCACUAGAGAUCUUUUUUUUAAACAAUUAUUUUCCCUUCAACUUCAUCUUCUUCUGCUCUAUACUUUUUCCACAUUGAUUCCCCAUUUUUUCUUUUAAAUAUUUUGAGCUAUUUGGAACUAACUUUAUUUUGACAUGAGAUUUUUGUCCUAAAGUAAAUGGUUAAAACCUCUUUGCAAAAAGAAUUAAUAAACUAAUAUUAUUUUUACCAUAGUUACUCCCACUCAAAGGGGACAAAAGUACUUCAAGAUACAUUGGUCUUAGAUGAUUAGUGCUUUCAUUGCUUUCAGAACAUACUUGACUACUUUUAAAAAGCCAAAAAAAACCCCAGCUAAUUUACAGACAUGCAGAAAUGAUCAUUGCCAUAGUCUAUGUUUGUCUGGAUCUAGUGGAAAUCCUUUCUUUUAUUCCUUGGUACUUUUCUGGAAUUUUAAAGAUGUAUUUCAUGACAUAACACAAGGUAUUUUUAAGGAAAGGCAGUACCUCUUAGAAGCAUGAAUAUCUUUUGCUUCACUAGCUGUCUAGAGUGUGGUAUGCAUUUUGUCAUGUAAUGGUGUUUGAUGAUAUAUGUAAAUUGUUGAGAUUUUGUCAGAGAUGUUAUCAGAAAAAUAAAGACAUCAUUCACUUGUAACUUUCAUAAAUUUAUUCCCAGCAGUCAAUCUUUUCAAGUAUUGUUUCUAAUCAAGAUAAUAUGCUUCACUUGGGAAUUGUUUAUAAUUAAAUGAUGCCACAUAUAGAUUCUUAGAGAUGUUUAAUUCUUAUUUAUGAUUGGUGGCAUAAGGAAGAAAAUGUUAUGAAUGGGUUAAUAUUUAGAAAUAAGAUAUUAUUUGUGAUUGAAUUGCACUAAUGAAAGCUUGUGGAUUGCAGACAAUGAAAAUGAUUAUUACUUUGAGAUGCCCAGUAGCAAAUGUUAGUGAUUUGUCAGUGGUAUGGGCAUAUGGAACAUAAACCCUUUCUUUCUAUUAAAGACACUGUCUUUGUACCAGCAUCUGUUUGUGUAAUUCCCCCCACCCUCCACCCUUACCCAGGGCAUAAAAAAAAAAAAAAUACAACAAAUUAGGUUUGCUACUCUUUAAUGCCUUUUUCCAUAACUGGCAUUGAAUGAAUGAUUUUAAAAUGUAGCACAAUUCUGGAGAAAACAGGUGGUGUGGUUGAUGCAAUUGACGUUGGCUAAAUACUAUGUGGCAUAGUGUCACCCUCUGACCAGUUGUUCAUUCAAUAAAAGCUUUUUGCAUAUUCUCACAAGAAGUAUGUUAUGUGUGUGGUUUUAAGUGUUGGCCUCCUCAGGCUUCGAUGCUUAGUUACUCAGCCCAGCUAUGGCAGCCUGUUGGAACAAAGGAGCAUUCAUUGAUGUCUGUGAGCACAGAAAGCCGAAUCAGUAAUAAAAGCUGAUGAAAACCUGAAUCAAAUUAUAACUUGUUCCUGGUGAAGAUAAUGAUUUACUUAACUAUAGGGAGACAGUAACAUUUCCUUCCUCACCAAGGAUUUGUAUUUAAUGUUUGUAGUGAAAGAUAUUUCUCUUACAUCCAUUCUCUCCUACAGGUUGUAAGGUAUAAACAUUCGACCACAUUAGAGUAAUUCAAAUUUGAAACCAUACCCUCAGUUACAGGAGUGAUGCUCCUACAAAAAUAAUUCCAUUAAGACCUGUUUGACCUCUUUAAUUUUUGCUUAAUAUUUUGAUGAUUUCAUAAUAGAUAAAAUGAUAUGCCAUCUUGAAAGUGUAUUGUAAUUGAAUUCACUUGAAAUUCACUUAUAAUUCACUUGAAAGUGAACUAUAAUUCACUAUAGCUGCUAAUAAAACUGUGUUGGAGUAAACUGUUAAGACC
This is a long non-coding RNA of Sarcophilus harrisii (Tasmanian devil), 2674 nucleotides long. NCBI's taxonomy places the organism in Eukaryota, Metazoa, Chordata, Mammalia, Dasyuromorphia, Dasyuridae. The record is from Ensembl.